GACGAACGCUGGCGGCGUGCUUAACACAUGCAAGUCGAACGGAAAGGCUCUGCUUGCAGGGUACUCGAGUGGCGAACGGGUGAGUAACACGUGGGUGACCUGCCCUGCACUUCGGGAUAAGCCUGGGAAACUGGGUCUAAUACCGGAUAGGUGCCAUUUUUAGUGUGAUGGUUGGAAAGUUUUUUCGGUGUAGGAUGAGCUCGCGGCCUAUCAGCUUGUUGGUGGGGUAAUGGCCUACCAAGGCGGCGACGGGUAGCCGGCCUGAGAGGGUGGACGGCCACAUUGGGACUGAGAUACGGCCCAGACUCCUACGGGAGGCAGCAGUGGGGAAUAUUGCACAAUGGGCGCAAGCAUGAUGCAGCGACGCCGCGUGGGGGAUGACGGCCUUCGGGUUGUAAACUCCUUUCGCUAGGGACGAAGCUUUUUGUGACGGUACCUAGAUAAGAAGCACCGGCUAACUACGUG
RNAcentral lists this ribosomal RNA (465 nucleotides) under uncultured bacterium. RNAcentral describes it as "partial 16S ribosomal RNA". It matches the Rfam family "Bacterial small subunit ribosomal RNA", at positions 28 to 507 of the family's 1533-position model. The record is from RNAcentral.